AGUAUUCAGGAUUUUAGCCUCAACUUGGCUCCAAACUGUUUACCAAGUAAACAUUUCCAUAUUGAUCAAGAUAACGUGUAAGUCUAUACAGUAACAGCAGUUCUCAGUAAGCCUGAACCGCUCCUGCUGGCCUAUCUUCACAGAGGUGGAACUAAAUGAUUGUGUUAUGUCUAAUUUUCAAAAUAUGUGUAAAAUUAGAUUUUAAAUUCAUAGUUAUAGGAAUGUAUCUUUCUUCUUUAGAUCCAAGUGUAACUGUAGUCAAAACUGUCAAAAAUUGAGGGUCAUAAACACCUCUUUUCCCUUGUUGCAGGCUCUCAGUGACCCGAAGAUGCUCCACCCCUUCCCAAGUCCAACAUGUGUUCAACUCCAAGAUCUAGGUUGAGAAGUGUCUAGAUCUAAUUCAAUGUACAAGGUUGCCUUCUGAUCACAUAGACGAAGACAGUCAGCCCCAGCCUCUCCACGCUCCCGAAGCAACUGUGAACACUUACAUUUCUCAUCAGAACUCAGUGGUAAAAUUCCAAGUUGUUUUUUGUCUGUCUCCCAUACUGCACAAUGAGCUAUAUGAAGACAGAGACUGGAUAAUCCCAGCAAUUGUGCAUAGUGCUUGGAUAUGAUAGGUAAUAUUUCUUGAAUAAAUGGAUAAAAUGUUA
Long non-coding RNA from Callorhinus ursinus (northern fur seal), 650 nucleotides. RefSeq lists it as uncharacterized. The record is from RefSeq and is a predicted model, not a curated record. NCBI's taxonomy places the organism in Eukaryota, Metazoa, Chordata, Mammalia, Carnivora, Otariidae.